Molecule: ribosomal RNA, 449 nt
Filed under: uncultured bacterium
Lineage: Bacteria
Description: partial 16S ribosomal RNA
Rfam family: Bacterial small subunit ribosomal RNA
Source: RNAcentral
AACGUACGCUGGCGGCACGCCUAACACAUGCAAGUCGAACGCAGUAGCAAUACUGAGUGGCAGACGGGUGAGUAACAUGUGGGAAUCUGCCUUGUGGUUCAGGACAACAUUGGGAAACCGAUGCUAAUACUGGAUAAGCCCUUACGGGGAAAGUUUUAAUGCCAUAAGAUGAGCCCGCAUUUGAUUAGUUAGUUGGUGAGGUAAUGGCUCACCAAGACAAUGAUCAAUAGCUGAUCUGAGAGGAUGAUCAGCCACACUGGGACUGAGACACGGCCCAGACCCCUACGGGAGGCAGCGGGGGGGAAUCUUGCACAAUGGAGGAAACUCUGAUGCAGCGAUGCCGCGUGGGUGAAGAAGGCCUUUGGGUUGUAAAGCUCUUUUGUAGGGGAAGAUAAUGACUGUACCCUAAGAAUAAGGUCCGGCUAACCUCGUGCCAGCCGCCGCGGUAA